GGAAGCAGAGCUUCCUGUUCCUCGUCUGCUACUCUGCUUCAAUUGGGCACCGGGAAAAGCGAUGCUGCCGGGUGCUCGGGUUCUUGGAGAGGGGAUGGAAUGGAAUGAUGGAUCGAUGCGGGAUGCGUUGCUGUUGCUAGCGGCUUCUGAUUGGAGAGAGGAGAGAAGCUGGUUGCUUGUGUUACCGUGAACGUGAAGGAAAACAGAGUAGGGAGGAGAGCAAGCUGCUGGUGCAGGAGCAUCAUGGCUACGGCAAUGGCAGCGCCACGCAUUCGAUUCAUGGACGCGCAGGCCCCGGUGGUGAUGCAAGCCACGGUGGUUCCUGCAUGACAAUAGGUUCUUGUUACAAGACAGUCAUCAGUCAUAUUGUGAAGAACUGAUGACAGUUUUGAACACAAAUAUAGGAUUUCAUCACGAUACACUAGAGGUUUACAAUCAUCAACUACUGCAGGGGAAAAAAAUGGAGCUAGUAUUUUUGAAAAA
Long non-coding RNA from Setaria italica (foxtail millet), 483 nucleotides. RefSeq lists it as uncharacterized. The transcript has 2 exons. The record is from RefSeq and is a predicted model, not a curated record. Lineage: Eukaryota; Viridiplantae; Streptophyta; Magnoliopsida; Poales; Poaceae.